Molecule: ribosomal RNA, 252 nt
Filed under: uncultured bacterium
Lineage: Bacteria
Description: partial 16S ribosomal RNA
Rfam family: Bacterial small subunit ribosomal RNA
Source: RNAcentral
ACGAGGGGUCCUAGCGUUGUUCGGAAUUAUUGGGCGUAAAGCGGGUGUAGGCGGUUAGAUAAGUCAGAAGUGAAAGCCCUGGGCUCAACCUGGGAAGUGCUUUUGAUACUGUUUAACUUGAGUGUAGGAGAGGUUGCUAGAAUUCCUGGUGUAGUGGUGAAAUACGUAGAUAUCAGGAGGAAUACCGGUGAGGAAGCUGGGUGACUGGCCUAACACUGACGCUCAGACCCGAAAGCGUGGGGAUCAAACAGG